Long non-coding RNA from Entelurus aequoreus (snake pipefish), 269 nucleotides. RefSeq lists it as uncharacterized. The transcript has 3 exons. NCBI's taxonomy places the organism in Eukaryota, Metazoa, Chordata, Actinopteri, Syngnathiformes, Syngnathidae. The record is from RefSeq and is a predicted model, not a curated record.
CAAGCAGCACAAAAAGCUGCUGUGUGUUUGAUCAACACCUGCUUGUUGAUCACAUAGUUGUGUGUUUCCACGCGGGACUCCACAAAAGUAACCAGAAAGUCACAGAGUGGAGCGCAGACCUCCACCAUGACCAACCAUCCUGAGCUAUCACAGCUUCAACUCUCCUGGGAAGGCUGUCCACAAGGUUGCAGAGUGUGUUUAUAGCAAUUUUUCCAGCGUUCUUCCAAAAGCGCAUCGGUGUUCAGGUCAGGACUCUGUGCAAGCCAGUC